GAUUAACGCUAGCGGCAGGCAUAAUACAUGCAAGUUGAACGGCAGCACAGGUAGCAAUACUGGGUGGCGAGUGGCGCACGGGUGCGUAACACGUAUGCAACCUACCCUAUACAGGCGAAUAACCUUUAGAAAUGAGGGCUAAUACGCCGUAGUAUUACAGAUGGGCAUCUAUUUGUAAUUAAAGAUUUAUCGGUAUAGGAUGGGCAUGCGUCCCAUUAGUUAGUUGGUAAGGUAACGGCUUACCAAGACGAUGAUGGGUAGGGGAUCUGAGAGGACUUACCCCCACACUGGUACUGAGACACGGACCAGACUCCUACGGGAGGCAGCAGUAAGGAAUAUUGGGCAAUGGCCGCGAGGCUGACCAGCCAUGCCGCGUGCAGGAAGACGGCCUUAUGGGUUGUAAACUGCUUUUAUACGGGAAUAAUAGAGUGUACGCGUACAUUUAUGCAAGUAUCGUAUGAAUAAGCAUCGGCUAACUCCGUG
Molecule: ribosomal RNA, 483 nt
Filed under: uncultured bacterium
Lineage: Bacteria
Description: partial 16S ribosomal RNA
Rfam family: Bacterial small subunit ribosomal RNA
Source: RNAcentral